GACGAACGCUGGCGGCGUGCUUAACACAUGCAAGUCGAACGGAAAGGCCCUGCUUUUGUGGGGUGCUCGAGUGGCGAACGGGUGAGUAACACGUGAGUAACCUGCCCUUGACUUUGGGAUAACUUCAGGAAACUGGGGCUACUACCGGAUAGGAGCUCCUGCUGCAUGGUGGGGGUUGGAAAGUUUCGGCGGUUGGGGAUGGACUCGCGGCUUAUCAGCUUGUUGGUGGGGUAGUGGCUGACCAAGGCUUUGACGGGUAGCCGGCCUGAGAGGGUGACCGGCCACAUUGGGACUGAGAUACGGACCAGACUGCUACGGGAGGCAGCAGUGGGGAAUAUUGCACAAUGGGCGGAAGCCGGAUGCAGCAACGCCGCGUGCGGGAUGACGGCCUUCGGGGUGUAAACCGCUUUCGCCUGUGACGAAGCGUGAGUGACGGUAAUGGGUAAAGAAGCACCGGCUAACUACGUG
Molecule: ribosomal RNA, 468 nt
Filed under: uncultured bacterium
Lineage: Bacteria
Description: partial 16S ribosomal RNA
Rfam family: Bacterial small subunit ribosomal RNA
Source: RNAcentral